RNAcentral lists this long non-coding RNA (1146 nucleotides) under Dromaius novaehollandiae (emu). RNAcentral describes it as "lncRNA (ENSDNVG00000015279.1)". Lineage: Eukaryota; Metazoa; Chordata; Aves; Casuariiformes; Dromaiidae. The record is from RNAcentral.
CGGGCACUGGGGAAGGACAAACUAGGUCAGGAUGGCGCUCCGCCAUAGCAACGGGAGUGUUGGGGCGUUGCUAAGGAGGCCGGAGGAGGCGGUGCGGGGAUGGCAGCGGCCAAUGUGGCCCCAGCAGAAACCAACUUAUCUCCCACCAUAGACGGCUUGGAAGAAAGUCUGCAGAAACUUAAAGUUCAAGUGGACAGCUUAGCCUCAAGUCUGAGUUUUGACAUGGAUCAAAAUGGUGGCACAGAUUCUGACACUGCAGGCAGCUCAACUACUUUUAGACCUGAAUGGCUAYAAAUUUAUAAUGCAAGCUAUGUGGAGACAGGUCCUGGGAAUACACCUAAGCAGCUUGCAGAGUCAGAGUGGUUUCUAAAGCCUAGGCAUCUAGUCAAAUCUUUAGGUGAUUACCCAGCACUAACAAACUUAAGUCUUCCAGUGUUCUCUGCAUCUGCAGUCAGUCAUGUGGCUGGGCUGGGAAGUGAAACCAUAAGCAAAAAUGAUUUGCUGUUGGAGGAUCUGGUAAAUACCAACUCAUUUCCUGUAAAGCUUGGAGCUCCACAUGUUAUUGGAGUUAAGUCUGUCUUACACCCAAAAGUCCCAGUGAGAACUUGCUCUCAUGAGAGAGUCAGUUCUUUCUUAGACCAAGGUAGCUCUCUGUCUGUUGAAUGUGCAGGGAAUUACCGAUCCCGCUCAUUUUCUCCUGCUUCAAAAAAAAGCCGCUGGCUAAGGUCUCGCUCCCAGUCUCCCAAGUCCAUUUGGAGGCCAAAUUCUGCAAAGGCAAAUGCUUGUGCCCAGCCUCUGCCAAACUGUGGCAGAUUCAGGUGCAGCAGAAAGACAACAGCAUCAACCAGACAGUCGCGAUCUAGAACACACAAACUGGGGUCCCUGGCUGCCAGAUCCCAUACUCCAACUAUGAUGAAUGCAGGGGGAAUACUCAGUUCCUCAUGGAGCCCUUACAGUCUGCCAUCUGCUACUAUGUCCUCACCAGCAGCUCAGGACGUUAAUGAAAGGUGUGCGAUGAGAAGCUCCCAGUUCCAUUAUGAAGCCCACAAGAACAAUGAGUUGCUGAGAGGCAGCCAAGACUUGCAGUCUGCGUGUAACAACAGACCAGAACUGAAGUCAGCAUCCAAGAAACUCCAAGAGCAUUAG